RNAcentral lists this ribosomal RNA (469 nucleotides) under uncultured Pseudomonadota bacterium. RNAcentral describes it as "bacterial SSU rRNA". It matches the Rfam family "Bacterial small subunit ribosomal RNA", at positions 8 to 525 of the family's 1533-position model. Lineage: Bacteria; Pseudomonadati; Pseudomonadota. The record is from RNAcentral.
AGAGUUUGAUCCUGGCUCAGAACGAACGCUGGCGGCAGGCUUAACACAUGCAAGUCGAACGCACCUUCGGGUGAGUGGCAGACGGGUGAGUAACGCGUGGGAAUCUACCCAUCCCUACGGAAUAACGCAUGGAAACGUGUGCUAAUACCGUAUACGCCCUUUGGGGGAAAGAUUUAUCGGGGAUGGAUGAGCCCGCGUUGGAUUAGCUAGUUGGUGGGGUAAAGGCCUACCAAGGCGACGAUCCAUAGCUGGUCUGAGAGGAUGAUCAGCCACACUGGGACUGAGACACGGCCCAGACUCCUACGGGAGGCAGCAGUGGGGAAUAUUGGACAAUGGGCGCAAGCCUGAUCCAGCCAUGCCGCGUGAGUGAUGAAGGCCCUAGGGUUGUAAAGCUCUUUCACCGGUGAGGAUAAUGACGGUAACCGGAGAAGAAGCCCCGGCUAACUUCGUGCCAGCAGCCGCGGUAAUA